Molecule: unclassified non-coding RNA, 336 nt
Filed under: soil metagenome
Description: partial contains 5.8S ribosomal RNA, internal transcribed spacer 2, and large subunit ribosomal RNA
Rfam family: 5.8S ribosomal RNA (bases 1-120)
Source: RNAcentral
GAUGAAGAACGUAGCGAAAUGCGAUAAGUAAUGUGAAUUGCAGAAUUCAGUGAAUCAUCGAAUCUUUGAACGCACAUUGCGCCCCCUGGUAUUCCGGGGGGCAUGCCUGUCCGAGCGUCAUUGCAACCUUCAAGCGCGGCUUGUGUGUUGGGUCUCGUCCCCCGUGGACGGGCCCGAAAGGCAGUGGCGGCGUCCCGACAUGGUGCCCGAGCGUAUGGGAAUCCUCUUCCGCUCGAAUCGGCCCAUGCGGCGCUGGUCGUAACCAAAUUUUUUACCGGUUGACCUCGGAUCAGGUAGGGAUACCCGCUGAACUUAAGCAUAUCAAUAAGCGGAGGA